UACAGAGGUCCCAAGCGUUGUUCGGAUUCACUGGGCGUAAAGGGUGCGUAGGCGGUCGGGUAAGUCUGACGUGAAAUCCCGCAGCUCAACUGCGGAACUGCGUCGGAUACUAUUCGGCUUGAGGAAUGGAGGGGAGACUGGAAUUCCCGGUGUAGUGGUGAAAUGCGUAGAUAUCUGGAGGAAUACCGGUGGCGAAGGCGGCAUCCUGGACCGACAUUGACGCUGAGGAGCGAAAGCUAGGGGAGCAAACGGG
RNAcentral lists this ribosomal RNA (253 nucleotides) under uncultured bacterium. RNAcentral's name for it is "partial 16S ribosomal RNA". It matches the Rfam family "Bacterial small subunit ribosomal RNA", at positions 524 to 776 of the family's 1533-position model. The record is from RNAcentral.